AAUUCAGCUGGUGCGCUGACAAGCCAGGGCUAUUACGGCAACGGUCAGGCGACGCCGCCGAUCCCGGUGCCGCGCAAUACGUGGUACGGCGUCAAGAGCGGUCCGCUGGCUGACAUCGUGCGUACCGAUACCCAUAUCGGUACGAUCAAGGUCGAGCGCGACCUCGCGCCUGACCUCAAGAUCAGCAACGCGACACGUUACGUCAGCAAUGAUCGCUUUGCGAUCAACACUGCGCCGCGCUCGCUUGGCGAUAACACAAACACUGCAUUCGCGAAUC
Molecule: unclassified non-coding RNA, 277 nt
Filed under: Hevea brasiliensis (rubber tree)
Lineage: Eukaryota; Viridiplantae; Streptophyta; Magnoliopsida; Malpighiales; Euphorbiaceae
Source: RNAcentral